RNAcentral lists this small RNA (702 nucleotides) under Pongo abelii (Sumatran orangutan). RNAcentral's name for it is "retained intron". Lineage: Eukaryota; Metazoa; Chordata; Mammalia; Primates; Hominidae. The record is from RNAcentral.
CGGGGAGCCGGCCCACGGGCGGCGGGGCUGGGCCCGGGGCUCCCAGGCGCUGACCCCCGGGGCCCGCAGGCGUGUGGCUCACGGACCUGGUGCACGUGGCGGCCCACGAGAUCGGCCACGCGCUGGGCCUGAUGCACUCACAACACGGCCGGGCGCUGAUGCACCUGAACGCCACGCUGCGCGGCUGGAAGGCGUUGUCCCAGGACGAGCUGUGGGGGCUGCACCGGCUCUACGGUGAGUCCCUUUGUCGGGCGGGAGGGCGGGGACCGGGCGGUCCCGAGCCAGGCCGUGCUCCCCACGCUCCCGACAGGAUGCCUCGACAGGCUGUUCGUGUGCGCGUCCUGGGCGCGGAGGGGCUUCUGCGACGCUCGCCGGCGGCUCAUGAAGAGGCUCUGCCCCAGCAGCUGCGACUUCUGCUACGAAUUCCCCUUCCCCACGGUGGCCGCCACCCCACCGCCCCCCAGGACCAAAACCAGGCUGGUGCCUGAGGGCAGGAACGUGACCUUCCGCUGCGGCCAGAAGAUCCUCCACAAGAAAGGGAAAGUGUACUGGUACAAGGACCAGGAGCUCCUGGAGUUCUCCUAUCCCGGCUACCUGGCCCUGGGCGAGGCGCACCUGAGCAUCAUCGCCAACGCCGUCAACGAGGGCACCUACACCUGCGUGGUGCGCCGCCAGCAGCGCGUGCUAACCACCUACUCAUGG